GGUUAAGCGACUAAGCGUACACGGUGGAUGCCCUGGCAGUCAGAGGCGAUGAAGGACGUGCUAAUCUGCGAAAAGCGUCGGUAAGGUGAUAUGAACCGUUAUAACCGGCGAUGUCCGAAUGGGGAAACCCAGUGUGUUUCGACACACUAUCAUUAACUGAAUCCAUAGGUUAAUGAGGCGAACCGGGGGAACUGAAACAUCUAAGUACCCCGAGGAAAAGAAAUCAACCGAGAUUCCCCCAGUAGCGGCGAGCGAACGGGGAGGAGCCCAGAGCCUGAAUCAGUGUGUGUGUUAGUGGAAGCGUCUGGAAAGGCGCGCGAUACAGGGUGACAGCCCCGUACACAAAAAUGCACAUGCUGUGAGCUCGAUGAGUAGGGCGGGACACGUGGUAUCCUGUCUGAAUAUGGGGGGACCAUCCUCCAAGGCUAAAUACUCCUGACUGACCGAUAGUGAACCAGUACCGUGAGGGAAAGGCGAAAAGAACCCCGGCGAGGGGAGUGAAAAAGAACCUGAAACCGUGUACGUACAAGCAGUGGGAGCCCUGAUUUAUCAGGGUGACUGCGUACCUUUUGUAUAAUGGGUCAGCGACUUAUAUUCUGUAGCAAGGUUAACCGAAUAGGGGAGCCGGAGGGAAACCGAGUCUUAACUGGGCGUUAAGUUGCAGGGUAUAGACCCGAAACCCGGUGAUCUAGCCAUGGGCAGGUUGAAGGUUGGGUAACACUAACUGGAGGACCGAACCGACUAAUGUUGAAAAAUUAGCGGAUGACUUGUGGCUGGGGGUGAAAGGCCAAUCAAACCGGGAGAUAGCUGGUUCUCCCCGAAAGCUAUUUAGGUAGCGCCUCGUGAAUUCAUCUCCGGGGGUAGAGCACUGUUUCGGCAAGGGGGUCAUCCCGACUUACCAACCCGAUGCAAACUGCGAAUACCGGAGAAUGUUAUCACGGGAGACACACGGCGGGUGCUAACGUCCGUCGUGAAGAGGGAAACAACCCAGACCGCCAGCUAAGGUCCCAAAGUCAUGGUUAAGUGGGAAACGAUGUGGGAAGGCCCAGACAGCCAGGAUGUUGGCUUAGAAGCAGCCAUCAUUUAAAGAAAGCGUAAUAGCUCACUGGUCGAGUCGGCCUGCGCGGAAGAUGUAACGGGGCUAAACCAUGCACCGAAGCUGCGGCAGCGACGCUGAUGCGUUGUUGGGUAGGGGAGCGUUCUGUAAGCCUGUGAAGGUGGCCUGUGAGGGUUGCUGGAGGUAUCAGAAGUGCGAAUGCUGACAUAAGUAACGAUAAAGCGGGUGAAAAGCCCGCUCGCCGGAAGACCAAGGGUUCCUGUCCAACGUUAAUCGGGGCAGGGUGAGUCGACCCCUAAGGCGAGGCCGAAAGGCGUAGUCGAUGGGAAACAGGUUAAUAUUCCUGUACUUGGUGUUACUGCGAAGGGGGGACGGAGAAGGCUAUGUUGGCCGGGCGACGGUUGUCCCGGUUUAAGCGUGUAGGCUGGUUUUCCAGGCAAAUCCGGAAAAUCAAGGCUGAGGCGUGAUGACGAGGCACUACGGUGCUGAAGCAACAAAUGCCCUGCUUCCAGGAAAAGCCUCUAAGCAUCAGGUAACAUCAAAUCGUACCCCAAACCGACACAGGUGGUCAGGUAGAGAAUACCAAGGCGCUUGAGAGAACUCGGGUGAAGGAACUAGGCAAAAUGGUGCCGUAACUUCGGGAGAAGGCACGCUGAUAUGUAGGUGAAGCGACUUGCUCGUGGAGCUGAAAUCAGUCGAAGAUACCAGCUGGCUGCAACUGUUUAUUAAAAACACAGCACUGUGCAAACACGAAAGUGGACGUAUACGGUGUGACGCCUGCCCGGUGCCGGAAGGUUAAUUGAUGGGGUUAGCGGUAACGCGAAGCUCUUGAUCGAAGCCCCGGUAAACGGCGGCCGUAACUAUAACGGUCCUAAGGUAGCGAAAUUCCUUGUCGGGUAAGUUCCGACCUGCACGAAUGGCGUAAUGAUGGCCAGGCUGUCUCCACCCGAGACUCAGUGAAAUUGAACUCGCUGUGAAGAUGCAGUGUACCCGCGGCAAGACGGAAAGACCCCGUGAACCUUUACUAUAGCUUGACACUGAACACUGGUCCUUGAUGUGUAGGAUAGGUGGGAGGCUUUGAAGUGUGGACGCCAGUCUGCAUGGAGCCGUCCUUGAAAUACCACCCUUUAAUGGCUGGUGUUCUAACGUUGGCCCGUAAUCCGGGUUGCGGACAGUGUCUGGUGGGUAGUUUGACUGGGGCGGUCUCCUCCUAAAGAGUAACGGAGGAGCACGAAGGUUGGCUAAUCCUGGUCGGACAUCAGGAGGUUAGUGCAAUGGCAUAAGCCAGCUUGACUGCGAGCGUGACGGCGCGAGCAGGUGCGAAAGCAGGUCAUAGUGAUCCGGUGGUUCUGAAUGGAAGGGCCAUCGCUCAACGGAUAAAAGGUACUCCGGGGAUAACAGGCUGAUACCGCCCAAGAGUUCAUAUCGACGGCGGUGUUUGGCACCUCGAUGUCGGCUCAUCACAUCCUGGGGCUGAAGUAGGUCCCAAGGGUAUGGCUGUUCGCCAUUUAAAGUGGUACGCGAGCUGGGUUUAGAACGUCGUGAGACAGUUCGGUCCCUAUCUGCCGUGGGCGCUGGAGAACUGAGGGGGGCUGCUCCUAGUACGAGAGGACCGGAGUGGACGCAUCACUGGUGUUCGGGUUGUCAUGCCAAUGGCACUGCCCGGUAGCUAAAUGCGGAAGAGAUAAGUGCUGAAAGCAUCUAAGCACGAAACUUGCCCCGAGAUGAGUUCUCCCUGAGACUUAGAGUCUCCUGAAGGAACGUUGAAGACGACGACGUUGAUAGGCCGGGUGUGUAAGCGCAGCGAUGCGUUGAGCUAACCGGUACUAAUGAACCGUGAGGCUUAACCUU
This 2908-nucleotide ribosomal RNA is filed under the name Escherichia albertii. RNAcentral's name for it is "23S ribosomal RNA". It matches the Rfam family "Bacterial large subunit ribosomal RNA". Lineage: Bacteria; Pseudomonadati; Pseudomonadota; Gammaproteobacteria; Enterobacterales; Enterobacteriaceae. The record is from RNAcentral.